RNAcentral lists this small RNA (817 nucleotides) under Prototheca ciferrii. RNAcentral's name for it is "eukaryotic LSU rRNA". The stretch from base 375 to 527 matches the Rfam family "5.8S ribosomal RNA". The record is from RNAcentral. Lineage: Eukaryota; Viridiplantae; Chlorophyta; Trebouxiophyceae; Chlorellales; Chlorellaceae.
UUUCCGUAGGUGAACCUGCGGAAGGAUCAUUGCAUCAUCGAUUCACGAUCGUCCAGGGCCGCUCCCUCGGGGAGCGGGUCGGCGGGGCGGAUCGGGGACGCUGGAAGGGGGGCUCUGCCUCUCUCCUCCUCGUCUCCGCUCCGCGUCGCCGCCCCGCUCCGCUUGGGUCCGCUCGCUCGCGCCCGGCCCUCGCUCGGCCUCGGGAAGCGCUUGCGGGCGGCGUCGGCCGCAUCCGACCCGUCCCGAAUUCGGCGAGAAAAACCCCCCUUUUCUUUUCGACCCAACGAAACGAAACUCGAAAACCGACCGUGCGUCGUGAGGCGAGCGCGACCCGAGAGGGCCCGCUCGCUUCCGCGCCUCAUCAAACCUAGAACAACUCUCAACGACGGAUGUCUAGGCUCCCGCAUCGAUGAAGAACGCAGCGAACCGCGAUACGUAGUGUGAAUUGCAGAGCCCGUGAAUCAUCGAAUCUUUGAACGCACAUUGCGCCCCGGACCUCGGUCUUGGGCAUGUCUGCCUCAGUGUCCCGCACAUCUGCACCCUCCUCUCCCUCUCCGCUCCGGAGGGGAGAGCGAGGGCGCGAUCUGGCCGUCUCGACCCUCUCGCGGGUCGCGUCGGCCGAAGCGGAGCGCGAUCCGGGCCGCGACCUCUUCGCGGCCGCUCUCGGAGCUUUGACGGUGGUCCUCGCGAUCUUCGACAAGCCAGCUCCUGGGGCGGUUCCGCUUUGGGGGGCGUCUGCAGUCCGGGUUCGCCCAAUGCCAGGAAACUCUUUCUCACAUUGGACCUGAGCUCAGGCAAGACUACCCGCUGAACUUAA